This 715-nucleotide ribosomal RNA is filed under the name uncultured Bacteroidota bacterium. RNAcentral's name for it is "bacterial SSU rRNA". It matches the Rfam family "Bacterial small subunit ribosomal RNA", at positions 74 to 790 of the family's 1533-position model. The record is from RNAcentral. Lineage: Bacteria; Pseudomonadati; Bacteroidota.
UUGCUACUUUGCUGACGAGUGGCGCACGGGUGCGUAACGCGUAUACAAUCUACCUUUUACAGGGGGAUAGCCUUUAGAAAUGAAGAAUAAUACCCCAUAGUAAGUUAUUUUGGCAUCAUUAUAACUUUAAAGAUUUAUCGGUAAAAGAUGAGUAUGCGUUCUAUUAGCUAGAUGGUGUGGUAACGGCACACCAUGGCAACGAUAGAUAGGGGCCCUGAGAGGGGGAUCCCCCACACUGGUACUGAGACACGGACCAGACUCCUACGGGAGGCAGCAGUGAGGAAUAUUGGACAAUGGAGGCAACUCUGAUCCAGCCAUGCCGCGUGCAGGAAGACUGCCCUAUGGGUUGUAAACUGCUUUUAUACAGGAAGAAACAGCUCUACGUGUAGAGCCUUGACGGUACUGUAAGAAUAAGGAUCGGCUAACUCCGUGCCAGCAGCCGCGGUAAUACGGAGGAUCCAAGCGUUAUCCGGAAUCAUUGGGUUUAAAGGGUCCGUAGGUGGAUAAUUAAGUCAGAGGUGAAAUCCUGCAGCUCAACUGUAGAAUUGCCUUUGAUACUGGUUAUCUUGAGUUAUUAUGAAGUAGUUAGAAUAUGUAGUGUAGCGGUGAAAUGCAUAGAUAUUACAUAGAAUACCAAUUGCGAAGGCAGAUUACUAAUAAUAUACUGACACUGAUGGACGAAAGCGUGGGGAGCGAACAGGAUUAGAUACCCUGG